This 85-nucleotide microRNA precursor is filed under the name Otolemur garnettii (small-eared galago). Its description in RNAcentral is "miRNA (ENSOGAG00000030476.1)". The record is from RNAcentral. Lineage: Eukaryota; Metazoa; Chordata; Mammalia; Primates; Galagidae.
GCUGGGACUGUAAGCAUGGACCACCAUGCCCACUAUUUUUUUCUUUUUUUUGUAGAGACAGGGUCUUGCUAUGUUGCCCAGGCUU